Molecule: non-coding RNA, 98 nt
Filed under: Desulfoplanes formicivorans
Lineage: Bacteria; Pseudomonadati; Thermodesulfobacteriota; Desulfovibrionia; Desulfovibrionales; Desulfoplanaceae
Description: TPP sequence
Rfam family: TPP riboswitch aptamer (THI element)
About the family: Vitamin B(1) in its active form thiamin pyrophosphate (TPP) is an essential coenzyme that is synthesised by coupling of pyrimidine and thiazole moieties in bacteria.
Source: Rfam by way of RNAcentral
UGCUUUGGCUAGGGGAGCCGCAAGGCUGAGAAGGGCAAGGCCCGACCCUUGGACCUGAUGCAGGUAAUGCUGCCGUAGGAAAGCCGGUUGAAGACAUU